GACGAACGCUGGCGGCGUGCCUAACACAUGCAAGUUGAGCGGAGAUAUAUGGAGCUUGCUUUAUAUAUCUUAGCAGCGAACGGGUGAGUAACACGUAGAUAAUCUGUCCUAUACUGGGGGAUAGCCCGACGAAAGUUGGAUUAAUACCGCAUACAGCUAUUUAGCCGCAUGGUUAGAUAGUGAAAGAUUUAUUGAUAUAGGAGGAGUCUGCGGCACAUUAGCUAGUAGGUGAGGUAAGAGCUCACCUAGGCGACGAUGUGUAGCCGGUCUGAGAGGAUGAACGGCCACAAUGGAACUGAGACACGGUCCAUACUCCUACGGGUGGCAG
This 328-nucleotide ribosomal RNA is filed under the name uncultured Bacillota bacterium. RNAcentral describes it as "bacterial SSU rRNA". It matches the Rfam family "Bacterial small subunit ribosomal RNA", at positions 28 to 351 of the family's 1533-position model. The record is from RNAcentral. Lineage: Bacteria; Bacillati; Bacillota.